This 14441-nucleotide long non-coding RNA is filed under the name Musa acuminata (dwarf banana). RNAcentral's name for it is "long non-coding RNA (MACU_LNC002577)". The record is from RNAcentral. Lineage: Eukaryota; Viridiplantae; Streptophyta; Magnoliopsida; Zingiberales; Musaceae.
UCUCUCUCUCUCUCUCUCUCUCUUCUCAUUCUAUAACGGUGAAUUUCUUAAUCUCUAAUGUUUUCUCAUUGUAUAAUUUUUAAUCGGUCUAUCUGAAUGAGGUAUUUUUUGUAGCCAACUCUAAAUAUUUGUCCAAUUAUAUUAACAGCUCUAUGAGCUUGAACUAUUUAUACUGUUGUUGUCCUCAGAUUUUUCAUUAGUUGCAAGACAUCCUUUUGUUUGUCAAUUUCCUCCAAAUCUUUGUAUGGUUUGCAAUUGAAGUAUAAUCCAUGUCAAAGUAAUGCUACAAUGGUCAAUUGUGAUUUACUUGUUUAAUUUGAUUGCUAAAAAGUGAGUUAUCUAGGUUGGCAGGGGAAAUUAGAUAGGAUUAUUUCAAGAUGAUUUAUUUUAUCACAGGUCAUCCGAGUUAAAGCCCAUUGAUUUGAUUGAUUUUACCUUCGUUAACUCUAAAGCCUUUGAUUUAAAUCAACUUAACCCUCCUUAACUCUGAACCGGAUACAGUUUAAGAAAAGGCAAACUAUCAUUUCUUGGGUAAUUCUACAUUAUGGUUCCACAAAUUUAUUAAAAUCUUAUAUAUUUAAAUGUCAAAAUUUGUCAAAUGAUGGUGGUUUGCAUGGAUAUUCUUGGAUUCCUUGUUAAUCUUCUGUUAUUGCAUAAUUGAGAUGAUUGUGUUUCUGUUUGAGCAAAAUGAGACUUGCUGUACUAUUUUGUUUUAGUGCCCUUUGGAAGUCAUUUUGAUACUCAAAUUUUGACUUUCUGGGCUAUUUAUUGUACAUGGAAGUUAUUUGGAUCCUCAAGUGCACCCAUAAAUCAUGUUGGAUGGAUAUCUAUUCAUGAGGACUCAUCAAUCUCUCUAAAGAUCAAUUCUAUAUGUUACUGAUGAUUUGACAUUGAAAUUUUGCCUUUUUAUUUACAAAUCUUAUAAAAACAUCUAAUACUUUAAGUUCCACAACAUAAAAAAUAUUAUCUACUUAUAAUAUGUUAAAAUUUUAUUUUAUUCAUCUGUGUUUCUCCUUUUUCUUUCCAUAUUGGACACUUCCGAUGCACAUCAGAAUUUGAUAGUGUUUUCAUGCAGCUUUGCUUCUGGUGUACCAUUCUUGAAAUUCGUGUGCUUCUGUUUUCUAACUUAAUUGUUGUGUUUUAGUUCUUAUUGUAAGGUCAUUUUGUCGGUCAACUUUCUAUUUGCACUGGAUAUCAUUCUGCUCCUAUUUUUUUUGUUAUUGUACUUAUCUUUAAUUUAGUAUGUCAAAGGAAAUUGUCAGAUUAUUCCUGAGGCUGCAAUCAGGUGUAUUAGAAUGUUAUUUUGCACUGGAUAUCAUUGUACACUGCCUGUAUGUACUUUAUGUACUUUUCUCAUUGCCACACUUGUUGGACUUUCAUGAAUGCAAUGCAAACUGACGACAUUUCUCGAUGUUAAUACUGCUAUAUAUUUGGAUUUGAUAGGUUUUUCCUGCUUGGUUAAGCUGCUUACCGAUUAAAAAUGAUUUAAUUGAGGCCAAAAUUGUUCAUGAACAGCUUUGCUCAAUGCUUGAAAGGUAACUCCCUGAUUUGUGUGACUGGAAAUUAGAAUAUUUGAUCCAUCAUAGCUUCUAAUUCAUUUUUUGGUUUGGUAUUACACUGAAUAUUAACCACGAAUUCUCUCCACAGAUCGGAUAGGGAGCUCUUAGGACCAAACAACCAGAAUAUUCCUAAAAUAGUUUCUGUAUUUGCCGAGGUGAGCUAUUAGUUUCCCCCCUUUCAUUUCUGUGGUAAAGUGAUUUAUAUUCUCCCACUAGUUCUAAAAUAUAAUUGUGAAGCGAUUGUUAUCAAUGGCAUUAUGAAGCUCAACCUAGUAUGCUUUUAUCAUGACAGAAACUUUAUUGAUAGUCAAAUUUUAUCCUGUCUUCCGUCUAGUAGCAGUACGGGGUUUUGCACAGUGUUUUUAGCAUCACAGAACCUUUGAUGAUACAAAAAUUUUAACCCAUUUUCAUGUUGGGUAGUGGUAUGAAGUUUUUCUGCUGUGCUUGUAGCAUGAUUGAGCCUUCGUUGGUACUCCAAAAAUCUUUUGAUCUUUGUCGAAGUUGCAGUGUUUACCAGGAUGAUUUUACAUGAUACCUAGGACGUUAACCCUUAUCUGAAAUAGAUUUAUUUUAGCUAGGAGAGAAAUGCAUACUCUUUUUGUAAAAUUUAAUGAUUUUACAUGUCCUUGGCUACUUGCUGUCGGCUGUUGCACUUGAAAACCUUCCUAGCCCUAUCAAUAGUAACAAAAUGUCAGAUUGGUUUUUCGGCAAUAGCUAUUUUGCCAUGUAGUCUUUUGGAUACCGUCUGAUGGUUGUACUACUUUUAGUGGCAAUUUGAUGUUUGUUUGAUUGUCACCUGAGAUAGUGAAUUCUUUUGUUUUUUCGUCUAGGUUUUGUGUGCAGGAAAUGAUCUGGCCACAGAACAAACUGUUAGCCGGAUGAUCAGUCUCUUGAGGCAGAUUCAACAGACAUUGCCACCGUCUGUCCUCGCCUCAACCUGGUCUACGUUGCAGCCUCAGCAGCAACUCGCGCUGCAGUCUAUACUAUCUUCGUAACCCUUCCGGUGUCGCCAUGGGGAAACUGUUCUUUCUUAUGGUUUGUGUGCCUUCCUACUUUACAUCAUUAUUGCUUUUGCUUUUCAUUCUUUAUGUCUAUUCAUCAAGUUGAAUCAAGUGUGAGGGCAUUGUUCGAUCGAGUUUUAUUUAAGUUUCAAGAGAAUUUUGCAAUUUUGGUGGGGUGAUGUAUAAAAUCAACAGCUGGAAUACAUGUUUGUCAUCUGAGGUGUACAUUGUGAAGGGUGAAGAAAGAUUCUCUUCUGUUGAAUCUUACCGGUUAUAGUGGAAGGAUUGGUCAAAACGGUCUGCUGCAGUUAUAAUGAUUGUAAUGUUCAUGGAGUAAUUGAUUUCUGGUCAAGUGUCAUGAUGCCAGUCUUUUGGGUGAUGGUUAGUGUGAUCCCUGUAAUGUUCUCUCAUCGCAGUCUCUUGGAAUUAUUCUCACCAUUGAUGAGUAGCUCUACUCUAGUGCUUGCGUUUCCUUGACUUGUUGAUCCCUUUGGUCUCUGCCCUAAUAUUGCAGAUGUGUUAGGAUUUCUGUUCUAUCAUGCGCAUGAAAUUGAAAGAAUAAUAAAUAAUUACUACAUUAAAAGUUUCAUCAAAAAGAUAUAAAAGGCAUCACAAGUCUCAAAUAACAAAAAUAAAAAAUGGUGAAAUUGCUUUUAUUAUCUCAAGUUCACAAUGCUAUUGUCUGUAAAAACUUAAAUCCUUGGAUGAGAUAUGAGUUUUCUUUUUGUAUAAUAAUUUUAAUAUUAUACAAUUUGUAUUUUAUUAUCAAAUAAUAUUGCCUUUGACUUCUGGAAGAAUCCAUCUCGGCUUAGGUCAUCUCGGCUAGAACCGGCCUGUUAAGCCGGCCUUUUUGACUCGCGGCCCAGAGUCUGAAGCCCUCGGUCGAUGGCCCCUAUAAAUAAAACCUGACUAGGGUUGUUCUUGUUCUGCUUUCUCCCGCGGCCGCCUUCGCUUACCCAUCGCCCCCUACGCGAGAGAGAUCGUAGGUGCGUGCGAUUACUUCCGAGUCCCCAGUUCUUUUUUCGCUUGUUAUCGAUUUAUCAGUGGAUGUUGUGAUGUCCUGGUAGUUUGUAAUAUGUCAUCCAGCAAUACUGAUUGUCGGUUCUCUCAGUCUUCUAUCGAAUUUUUUCGAUUUGUGGAGGACUUGUACGCCAAUUAAUUUCUUGUAGCGCAUGAUUUGCAUGUUUAGUUGGUUACGAUGAUCUGAGUCUUAAAUAAGCUUCGAGUAAAGUGAGUUGUUUGUUUCUUGAUAUGAUUUGCAUCUUUAGUUGUUUACUUCUUUGAUGUUGUGGUCUAAUGGGCAGUUGUGCUGUUGUUUGAUAUAUACAUGAAUUUAAAUCUCGAUCUCGUACUGGUUGACUAGUUAGAAUCAUUGGCUUGAUGUGCUUCAUGCUUAAGUUAAUCGAAGUGUCUGUAAUUUUUCCCAUGUAAGAAGAGGUUGACCACUUGACAGUCUGUUUCAAGCACCUUAAAAAGAGAGCACACAGCUAUUUGUCUUAAUUUGGUUUUGGCUUAAACAGGAUUAAGCUGGUGGUUAUUGGUUUGAUUACUCAAAGGGCUAAUUUUACCUAAUUAGAAUAGUUAACCUGGAUAAUUACUUGUCCUGGAGAGCGGGUUAGAGUAGCUCACUCUCGUUUUCUUUGUUGAUCUAAUAAUUGAGUUAGCUAGCUAGCUAAGUGACCAAACUAAAGAAAAGUUGAGGCUAGUUAACCGAGUUACGUGUUCUUUACAAAUGAUUAAUUAAAACUUGUUUUCUUUGAUCGAUCAGAACUCAAGCCCUUAACAGUCCGAUGCACUCUAAGUGGACAUAACUAUGAUGCCUUGUUUAAUUUUGCUCUGCCUCCACCGUAAGCCAACCACACCCUCAUCAUAGGUUAUGUAUUCUACUGAGUUAAUUUUCAUCACGUAAACUAGUGGGUUUUAAUUUAUUUCAUUCAGUACAGAUUUCACUACUUAAUCAAAAUAUAUCAUAGAGGUCAUCGUAUAUACACUGUCAGAACAACUAGCACAAGGAUGGUGUUCUGCAAGUUGCCAUGUAAUAUGAUAACUUACAUCACUUUCCAUUUAUGGCAAUGAGAAACUUGGUUGACACACUGCACUUCAAAUGGUGGCACACUCUUCAUGCUUCUUUUCUUGUAAUUUCGUUUUCAUUGUCGUGCCAUUAUUUGGUUCUUUGUUUUCUUUGGAAGUGGGAAUUAUGAUGAGCAGUCUUAUCUGAUUGCACUGCAUACCGAUAUGAACAGCAUGGAUACUCAAGCUAAGCUUGCAGUUGUGGUGAAGGUGAUGGGCCGCACUGGAUCUAGAGGUCAGGUUACCCAGGUUAGGGUUAAGUUUUUGGAUGACCAAAACCGGCUGAUCAUGAGGAACGUAAAGGGCCCCGUGAGGGAAGGUGAUAUCCUUACCCUUCUUGAAUCUGAAAGGGAGGCUAGGAGAUUGCGCUGAUAAUAGUAAUUAUUAUUAUGAUACUCUAUGGUCUUUCUUGCCUACUUCAGUAGUCUAUUUCUAUUUGUCUACAAACCUGUAUUAUCGGCUCAGUGGGUUUUGUUCAUUUUUUUUGUCGCAUGGAUUGUGUUGAAAAAUUGAGAAACUGCUCUAUGUUCUGUUUUGGUAUGAACCCAUAAUAUUUUAAUUCGCUGUGGUGUUUGUGUCUGGUCUUAAUUAAUUGCAUGUACUCCAUCAAAAAUGUUUUCUCUUGGAAUGAGCCGUGGAUUGAGCAUGGAUGUCAAUUUGUUCCUCUCAGAUGAACAUUUCAGCUCCUAUGUUUUCUUUGAAUUACCUAAUGCUUCUGAAAUUGCACCAACACCUUGAGCAUGAACGUGAUGUGUAUAUAUUAUCCAGAUUGAUUCUUGCAACACUAGAAACUCCAAAUUUAAAAUAUAAUAUAGCCUCUCAAAAUAAUUGCAUUUGUUCCUCAUUUUUACUGACUGGCAUAGCUGGAUUAAAUCUACUAUUAUGGCUGUUAAAGUUGAAAUAUUGUUGCAGAUAAUGGUUUUAGUAAGAUCUCUGCUUUAAUUGGUAAUGAUUUGUUGAUGAUUUUGCCAAAUGCACUAAUAGCUAGUGAAAUAUAUGGAUUUUGUUUAGGAGGGGCUAUGUGGGAAAAAAAAAUCAUCUGAACCACAACAUUUGUAUCAUGCAAUCACAUGGUAAAAAUCCAGACAUUCAAAAUUGCAUUUGCUUGUAACUUCACCUGCAUUUAUUUAUUGUUUAAAGAAUAUAUAGAGCCAAACACUACAUGUAUAAAUUCAUGUAUACAAAGAAUAUACAUGAAAAACUAAAACAAAACUGAUCACAAAAACCAAAGCAUUUCAAAGAUUCAUCAUCAUCAGUGCCAUACCUGAGACAUCAUCUCCACACACUCACUGCAACCUUCAAAUGUUCCAUCUAGUUUAUUUGAUCUGAUGAUUGUCACCUCUUUUCUUCUUAUUGUUCUUAUUGUAAUGAUAGGUUGAUUUAGUACCAUGUCCACCUGGAAUGCAUUAUUGGCUUUAGGUAACAUGUUUUACCAUGAGAAAUUUGGGGACUGCUGCCUUGAACUCUUCCAUUUUCGAUUCACUGCCAUAGCAUUUUCUUCAUAUCUGAGACUUUAUAUCCUAUGGCAUUUCCAUCGUAUCUGGGACUUUAUAUCCCUACUUGUCCAUUGAGACUUUUACAUGAUUUCAUGUGUGAAUGCAAUUUCUGCGGCUUAAAUGUCUUCCCACAUUGCCUGCUCGACAAAUUUGCAACCAAUUAAACCAAUCAUUAGUGAAAUGGAUUCGAGCAUAAAGUAAUUAAUUGCAUUUGCACUUCCAUCGAACCAUGAGCAAGUGGUGAUUUAUAGUAACCGGAUAUUAUGAAAUCUCUAUGGGCUGAUUAUAAAUUACCUUCCAAAUAUAAACGUUCUCAGUAUUCUGGUCCCAGAUUUAAAAAGAUUUAAAAAAAUUUACAAUAGAAUUUCUAUAGUUAUGAAAAUGAAGUUUACUCUAACAUUGUUAGUUUAACCGAUAAAAAUAUAAAAAUAAUAGAUAAAAAAGAUAAUUUCUAAUAUUUCAGUUGAUGAUAGCGGUUGAUGUUGGAGGUUAUAGAUGGUUGUUGUGGAUUAGGAGAAUGAGGACGAGAGAUGAGAGUCGUUCUACGUCGGUGUCGAUGUAGUUGUUGAGCGACAAAAGGAUCGCUCGAUAUCGACAGUCCUUUCGUCACUCAUUGCAUUGACGUCGACGCAAUUGUAGAGCGAUGUCGCUCUGCAUAUAUACAUCGACAUCGAUGCAAAUGCUGAGUAGUCCUUUCAUCGCUCAACAACUACGUUGACGCAGUGAGCGAUCUUUUUGUCACUCUGCAUCGACGUCGACAUAGUUGCCAAGCAGCGAUUUGCAUUGGCGUCAAUGCAAUUGCUGAGUGACGUCGCUUUGCAUUUGCAUCGGUGUUGAUGUAGUGACCGACCCUUUUGCCACUCGACAAUUGCAUCAACGCAAACGCAGUGAGCGUCCUUUUCGUCGCUUUGCAUUUACGUCAACGUAGUUGUCGAGUGAUGAAAGGGUUGCUCGGCAUCUACAUCGGUGAUCCUUUUGUCGCUCGACAACCGCGUCGAUGCAGAUGUAAAGAGGCGAAAGGAUCACUCAGCAAUUGUAUCGACGUUGACAUAAAUGCAAAGUGGCUCUCAUCUCUCAUCGUUGCUCUCCUCAUCCUCAACAGUCACUUGCGACCUCUAGCAAUGUCGUCAUUCAUCACCACUGACGUCGUCCGUCACAACCAAUGAGAAUAUUAAAAUUAUUUUUAUUUAUUUAUUUAUUAUAUUUUUAUCUAUAAAACCUAUGAUAUUAGGGUAAAUGGACUUAGAUGUUUUACUUUUAUAAUUAUAACAAUUCUAAUAUAAAUUUUUUAAGUCUAAUGAUCGAAAUACUAAAAAAGUUAGGGGUAAUAUUUAAUUAGCCUAAUAUGUAUCCAACUUUGGGACGUCCUAUUUAAUGGCAUAAUUUUGACUGCUAUUUCAGAUAUCAAUCACUAUUGCAGCAAUACCUAUGAAUAAAGAGUGAAUAAAACUUGGAUUCGUGUCUUCACGUAGUCGGACUGUGACCCGUGUGUUUCUCAACCAACUACGACUCGAUCCGAGUCACACGAGCCACGAAUUAAGAGACGAAGAGUGUGACUUACGAGCAAGUGGGUGUCGCCGCCGGCGUGUUAACCGGGGCGGCUUCCUGCUUCCCCGCCUUCCGCCACCUCCUCCCCCCGCCGCUCCUCGUCCUCCCUUCCCUGCCAAUUCCAACUCUUCAGCACACAGCAGCAAGGCCUGUAAAUGCAAAGCAGAUGACUCCUAAUGGCACCGACGCGAUCACCUUGAACCCUCACUGUCACCGCCGCGGCCACCGCCGGACCGCUCCUCUCCCUCUCGGCUUAUCGGCCGCAGGGCCCCGUCGUCGGUCUGAUCCGCGGUCUUGCACCGGAGGAUGUUACGUAGCGCCUGCGUCGCUCGCUUCGAGCAGUUGUUGCUGUCGCUGCUGCUGUCCAUUAUCGAUGCCCCUCUCUCCUCCUCCUUCUCCUCGUUCGGCUUCUCCUUCGCCUCCACCUUCGACGCGUCGAUCUCGGGUGCCGCUUUCUGCUGUGUUGGCGAUGGCGGCAACACCAGUAGAGUGUCGGCGUCAGAUGAGGCCGCCACUUUGGGUGGUUCCUCAUCGACCGCCGACGUCGACGCCGGCAUCAUCACCUGGUCAUCGGUGAAAGCAAACGAUGCACAUGAAGUCAGAGGAGAUGAGUGGGUAACAGAAGGUGGGGUUCUGUGCUGCACCUGUUUGCUGGGGGUGGAGACGGGAGGAUCCGUGGCGAGCUCGGAUCCUUUGAGCACGUAUUCGGCGUCGGCGAAGGGCGUGAUGGGGUCGUCGUCCAUCAGGUCCUGCCAUAUGUAUCCGCCUCGAUACCGUCUGAGAAAUCACACCCAUGUAAUCAUGGCACGAAUAGCAACGAACGAAGAGGAUGAGACGAUGGAGUAGAUCACCUUUUGUAGGACCAGGCGAAGGAGUCGGCCAUGUCCUUCCCUCUGAACUCCGACAGCCAUCUCUUCACAUCUGGCAGAUCGAGCACGCGCAGGAAAUAGUUGGGAAACAGCCGAAGAGAUACGAGGAGAUAGAUCAAAGAGGCGCAAGCAAAGGGGAAGCACAGUACCGCGAAGGUAAACGUGGUCUCGACGACGGCGAUGGAUGCGGAGGAGGUGCGGGUGUUCCACCCGGCCAUUCCGGCUGAGGAAGUACACCACGUUCACUCUCCUCAUCUCUCCUCCUCCUGCUGCAUUGGGUACCUCCACGGGCGUCAUGGCGCAUGCAAGUAAGUAUCAGGGAUUGCUGCAUCAACCACCUAUUCAACUCAGUCGAGGCUUCCAUCGUCACCGAGCAUACGUGAGUUUUAUAUAAGAAGGAUUGCAGGACUGGCAAUAGGAAUAUUUUAAGGUUUAAUCGUCGUUAAUACUCGUGGAAAAGUAAAUAAGAAUAGUUAUUGCUAUUACCAUAAAACAAUUCCUUCGCCCAAACAAAAAAUAGUAUGCAUUAACCCCCCACAUUAUUACGGAUCCCUUCGUCGUGGUGUUGAUAUAUACGUAAGAAUGGAACUCUGGCAGAUGCAUAAGGGUUUGGUAUAUAGUUGCCAACAUGACACACAAUCUCCAGAAAUAGAUGCAUAUUAUUUACUCUUUCCUAUCCAUCAGAAUAUAUGUUUGCAAGCUGUUUUUGGUCAGAAAUGUAGACAUCUAACUCAUUAGUGUGAUGCGGAAGACAACUCAUGACUGGUCAGCUUAUAAAAGGUCUUACCACAUAAUAUAUAUAUCCCUAUAAGAAACACACAACAUUAUUUAAUUAAUGAUUUCAGAUAUUGGUGAAUGGAGUGAAAGUAAGUAAUAAUAAUACCAACAACAACAAUACAAUACAAUAAUGCAAUAAUGAAAUAGCUGCAAAAUGAGGUCAACUUAGAAUGCUGUCAGAAUAUAGUUGAAAAGGAAAUAGAGGCGAUGAGCACAUCGGUGUUGGGUGUGUUUGUUAGCUCUCAAGGCAACGAAAGGCUAAGUUUACUGCCAAAACGAACCACAACCACAGCACGAAAGGAAAAGCCAACACAGAUGCCAAGUUUACAUGAUCUUAUUUGCGGGCUAAUUAUAGAUCAUCCUUUAGGGUUAGUCCUUCUUCACAUCUUAAUAUUUAUACUUUAAAAAUUUAUAUCGAAAUUGUUAUAGUUAUGAAAAUAAAAUAUCUAUAUUCAUUUACCAUAACAUCGUUGGUUUUAUAGAUGAAAAUAUAAAGAUAAAAGAUGAAAAGAUAAUUUCAAUAUUUCAAUUGAUGAUAGUGAACAACGUCGGUGAUAACAAAUGACGACAUCACUAGGGGCUGCGGAUGAUUACUAUGGUGACGAGAGAUGAGGACCACUCUAUAUUUGCAUUGAUGAUCUUUUCGUUGCUCGGUAAUUGCGUCGACAUCAACACAGUGAGUAGCUCUUUUAUUGAUCUACAUCUAUAUCGACAUCGAUACAGUUGUCAAGUGACAUCAUUGUGUAUCUGUAUUAGUAUUAAUACAGUUGCUGAGCGACCCUCAUCCAUCACCAUUGUUCUUCUCAUCCAUAGCAGUCACCCGCGGCCCCUAAUAAUGUUGCAAUCCACCACCACUGACAUUGUCUGUCACUACCGAUUAGAACAUUAAAAUUAUUUUUUUAUCUAUUAUUUUUAUAUUUUCAUCGAUAAAAUCGACAACGAUAGAAUAAAUAGAUAUAGAUAUUUUAUUUUCAUAAUUAUAGAUAUUUCAAUAUAAAUAUUUUAAAUCUAAAAAUAAAAAAAAACUAAAGAGAUCUAACUACGAAGGAUAAUAUAUAAUUAACCCUGUUAUUUGUUAUGUGAUUACCGGAGGGUAGAAAGUGAACAUCAAUAUUUUUUCUAUUCCGAAGAUUUCAUUAUGAAAAGUUAUCAAAGAUUGUCACUAAAUAACUAUCAAGAUUUGACUUCCAAGAAUUUGUUGCCUCUUAUGAAGGCUUUGCGUGAUGGCCAACUCUGAAUGUCAACCUUUCAGUGUUGUCUUUUUAUAUAGAUUGGAGUACAAGACUUGGCAAUUGUACAAUACACCAAUCCAUCAAAUACCUUUUCAUAAGAAACUUGGGGUGAAAAAGGAGAAAUAGAACAAAAUAAAACAUUCAGCUUCCAAGAGAACGACGGGAGCUCAGCUUCUUGAGUCCUUAGAUUAGGGAAGCUGAUGGGAAGCAGUCAACGCAAAUAUGACUUCCAAAGCCAGCCUUAACUCAGGACAAGAGAAUUGUUGCAUGAGGUGUUGACCUCACUUUCAUCUUUGGCAUUGCACAAAGGACAAGAACAAGCAUUCGAUGUUUGGUAGUGCCUCUUUCCUUGAAUGGCUCGAGGAUGGGUUUAUAGAUGAAAGAAGGGGAGGAAGUAUUUAACCAUUAAAUACUUUAUGUUGAGUGUAAAUUGUGUUAAGUUUAAAUCAAUAGUAAUAAACUCAUGUAAUUUUUUUUAAGAUAUUAAAUUAGAGUGUAACAAUGGCAUAUUGCAUGCGAAGCUAAGUCGAUAGGACUUUCACAUUAUCAUAUGUAUUCAAUCACAUCCAUCAUAUCUCUUUUCUAUUUGAAUCCUUAUGUUAUGUUUAAUGUAAUGUUUGUAUCAUUUGUUAUGAUACGAUCUAAUAGAAUAAUUAAAUCAUUAUCUUAAUAAACCUAAACCAUCGAUCAAGGCAUUUAAGCUCAAAAUAAUAGUAUCAGAUCGCCCUAUCGCUAUAAACUAAUUCAAAUGUUCAUUCAAAUAUUACUUAUCAAUUCAACAUCUAAUUCGACACUUGUAUCCUAUGGAUGAGACAGGUAGCUAAUUAUCGUAUCAUGUCAUAUUGUGGUAAAUGAUAUGUGAUCAAAUUUAUUAUUAUAUAUUAUAUCUAAUUUUCUCGGCUUAUUAAUAGAUGUAAUGCUACAUAUUUUUAUUUACAAUAAGUAUUAUCUUAUAAAUAACACACGAAUAAAACUUGUAGAUGCGAUUAUUAGACCACAAUAAAAAAGAUAAAACUUUUACUUACGAUUACGAAAACUAUAGUAUUAUAUGAACUUUUAUCUUCUAUAUUUAGACCUUAUUAAUAUUAUUGUUCAUGUAUUUAAAAAAUUUAUAUUAGGAUCCUUAUAGUUCUAGAAAUAAAAUAGAUAAUCUUAUUUUUUCUAACGUCAUGAAAGAGAUAGCAUGUGAUAUCACAUGCUCGACUAAUGCGAAAUUGAUAAGUAAAAAAUAAUAAUUUUAAUAUAUUUUUAUUUUUUUGUUUUGCCUAAAUUAAAAUAUAAUUUUAACAUAGCAAUAACUACUUGUAGACCCUGCCAUCUUUAUCUCUACCCAUACUAGUCUAUUAUGUUCUUUGUUCCGACAAUCACAAAAGAGAUUUAUUUAUCUUUAUAGGAUUUUGGCAUAAAAUAUGAUUUUGUGUAAUAACAUUACUCAAAAUGUUGUCUCCUCUUAAAAGCAAUCAUACUAAAACCACACAAAUAAUACUCACAUAAAUGAAAUAUAAUAAUUUGUCAUAUAACCUAUCACGAUAGGACAUUUUCAAAUAACCAUCAUAAUUAAGCAUAUAAGUUAUAGCUAUUGAUCGGACAGGAAGCAAUAGCAUACUCUUGUCCCGAUGGCGAUAGCAGCGAUCAUUACAUGGCGAAUGAAGUUACGACUAAAGCUCAAGAAAGUGUUGGAAUUAGAGGCGAGGGCAAAAAUGAAAAGAGUCAUGACAUAAGAAGCAUUGGGGAGGAAGGGGAGCCGAGCGACGAAGGUCGAUGCAAACGGUGAUAUAGAGAUAUUGAAAUAUCUUCUUUUUUUUUUCAUCUAAUUUGUACUAAUGCAAUAUAUAAUAUCACGUAUUAUAUCUUUUAAUAGUGUAACUGAUGAUGAUGUUAGGAAAAAUAAAAUUAUUUAUUUCGGUUUUAAAUUUAUGAAAAAUACUAAUAUCAAUUUUAUAAAUGAGAUUAUGGCACAUCAUCACUUAUGGGGCUAAACAGAGUCUACCAACAAAGAUUAUCACUAUAUAAGGAGGACAUUUUGCGAUUGACGACAUGCGAUCAUCGUAAGUACGUCCUCAUUGUUGUCAUGUAUGAUUCCAUCUUUACGCAGGUGCAUGAUGAGAAUGAAGUCAUGGCUAGUAAUGAUAGAUGGAUCAAGAACAGUGCUGCAACCACAUAAGCCUCUUCCCUCGCUCCUCCUCCAAUGCUUCCAUCGCACUCUUUGGCAUGAAGCCAAAGGAGGCCGGUAGGAGCACAGCCGCUGAUCUCUCAGUCUUAACCAUGCAAGUUGACGUUCCACCCUUCCCUCAACUUACCUUCUUCUCUCUCUCUCUCUCUCUCUCGCUCUCGCCAACCAUGGCGACGCGUUCCGAUCCGAGCAAGCAACGCCGCAUCGAUCCGAGCAUGUCCAGGAGAACAAGGAAGGCCAUCGAGGUCUUUCAGGAAGAGCCGCAGCCGGAGGAAGCCACUGAUGGCUUUCGACGCAUGUCUUUGCAGGAACUGAUGUCACAAGGUGCAGGCCGAGGCAUUAAUGGUGCUGCUGCUGUUCGUAAGCUCAUGACGAAUGCAUCAAGAGAUCAGGAGGAUGCAGCGGCCGCAACAAGUAACGAUGAGUGGGAGAAGACCCUCCCCAUCGUUCCAAAGCAAGGAGGAGUAAGAGCUCAUGGGAUUCUGAACAGGUACGUGAAGGUUCUCAACAAUCUGAUCAAGGCGAGAUCCAACUCCAAGGAGAAAGCAAGGUCUCAGUGAGGCUUUUGAAAUAUAUAUAUGUGCAAUAACAAUGUAUAUAUGUGGCUCAUUUCUAUGUGCUUGUAGACCUAUAUAUAUAUAUAUAUAUAUAUAUAUGUGCAAUAACAAUGUAUAUAUGUGGCUCAUUUCUAUGUGCUUGUAGACCAAGUCAUCCGCCAUCCAUUGUCCGAAUCCACCUCCACCACCAUUACAUCUUCAUCCACUAUUUAAGGGCUCCUCUCUUCUCUUGUCAUUCUCUCAUCUUCUUCUUCUACCUCCCUCCCUCUCCACCGUGGCAAGCGGUCUCCGUGCGCUUUGCAUCUUCUCGGCCUUCCUCAGCCUCAUCGGCUGCUGCAUCUCCACCGCCAACGUCGUCGUGGAAGGCCGCGCCGCGUGUACUGCGACACUUGCCGUGCUGGCUUCGAGACCAACGCCACCGAGUACAUCGAGGGUGCCAAUUAGGUGAGGUUAGAAUGCAGGAAUUACACCACCGGCGAGGUCGUCCACACGGAGGAGGCGGUGACGGACAAGGCCGGCACGUACCAGGUCGCCGUCCUCGACGACCACCAAGAAGAUACCUGCGAGAUGAUUCUGGUGAACGGCCCCCGGGCCGACUUCUCCGAGAUCACUACGCCUCUGUCGUCGCCACUAACAGCGUCGGGAUCGCCAGCAACGUGCGCCAAGGACAAGCCGCUCGCCUCCUGUGGCCAGUUGCUCAUGCAGAACGCGCUCUGGGCGUUGACGAGUGAGAGAGGCGUCGACUACGAAGCACUAACCACUAAGUAUAUAUAUGAAUCAUUUAGCAGUCCUUUUUUCCUCUUUUUGGUUGGUAAUUCUCAGCUAAUUUUGAUCCCAGAAAAAAGAACUUACUGUCUCGAUCUCAUCGGUCAUAAUGAAUUGAUCUUUUGUGCAUGUAAUAGACAGACCCAUAUAAUCUGCGCCUUUUUUUGGUUGGUGCCGCACCUAACUGACUUCUCAUUGGAGACGGACGCGGGGCCCAUGGUGGGUCCCACGGAAGCGUAACGAGGACAGGUCUUAAGCCAGGCUUCAGCGUACGCACUUCUCGUCGAGUAAUCUUCGCGAUUCCAAUGUACGGACAACAGCCGCGGGGGAGCGAAUCGCGGGAUCCUCUCCUGGUGUUUCGCUGAACCUUGCACGAUCGGACCGCUCAUGUCGA